ACACGCAUGACACACUGCAUAUCAAUAAGCGGAGGAAAAGAAACUAACAAGGAUUCCCUUAGUAACGGCGAGUGAAGCGGGAAGAGCUCGAAUUUGAAAUCUUCAAGGUUUGACCUUGACGAAUUGUAGUUUAAAGAAGUGUUUUCGGUUAGAGAGUUCGGUAAAGGUUCUUUGGAAUAGGACAUCAUAGAGGGUGAGAAUCCCGUAUUUGACCGUUAUUUUCUAGCUGUGUGAUACACUUUCAAAGAGUCGGAUUGUUUGGGAAUGCAGUCCAAAAUGGGUGGUAAAUUUCAUCUAAAGCUAAAUAUUGGCGAGAGACCGAUAGCGAACAAGUACCGUGAGGGAAAGAUGAAAAGAACUUUGAAAAGAGAGUUAAACAGUACGUGAAAUUGUCAAAAGGGAAGCGUUUGACACCAGUGUUGUUUUUCCGAAAAUCAAUUACGAAUGUUUUAUUUUUGAGGAGUUAUGACUUCAUCGGCUUGCUUCUCUCUUUACGAAACUUUCUUAAUGCACUUUUCGGUUAACAAGUCAACAUCAAUUUCUUUUGUUGUAAAAGGGUAUGAGGAAGGUGGCUUUCUUUUCGGAGAAAGUGUUUAUAGCCUUGUAGCCCUCUGCAAUCGGAGAGAUUGAGGUCUGCAGCGUAGAUCCUUCGGGGUUAGAUACAGUUUGUGCUAAGUUAUAGCUUUUCAUAGACAACUUGUUGACUAUGUUAGUCUUGUAGCUUACUCGCUUAUGCUAUUUUACCUACGCUUAGGAUGUUGACUGAUAUGUAGUCGUA
Molecule: ribosomal RNA, 778 nt
Filed under: uncultured Neocallimastigales
Lineage: Eukaryota; Fungi; Neocallimastigomycota; Neocallimastigomycetes; Neocallimastigales
Description: partial large subunit ribosomal RNA
Rfam family: Eukaryotic large subunit ribosomal RNA
Source: RNAcentral